Molecule: non-coding RNA, 148 nt
Filed under: Klebsiella sp.
Lineage: Bacteria; Pseudomonadati; Pseudomonadota; Gammaproteobacteria; Enterobacterales; Enterobacteriaceae
Description: 6S RNA
Rfam family: 6S / SsrS RNA
About the family: E. coli 6S RNA was the first non coding RNA to be sequenced, but its function was unknown until recently.
Source: RNAcentral
AUUUCUCUGAGAUGUUUGCAAGCGGGCCAGUCCCCUGAGCCGAUAUUUCAUACUCGGCCCGUCCGAGAAGCCUUAAAACUGUGACGACACAUUCACCUUGAACCAAGGGUUCAAGGGUUACAGCCUGCGGCGGCAUCUCGGAGAUUCC